CAGCAGCCGCGGUAAUACGUAGGGUGCAAGCGUUAAUCGGAAUUACUGGGCGUAAAGCGUGCGCAGGCGGUUAUAUAAGACAGAUGUGAAAUCCCCGGGCUCAACCUGGGAACUGCAUUUGUGACUGUAUAGCUAGAGUACGGCAGAGGGGGAUGGAAUUCCGCGUGUAGCAGUGAAAUGCGUAAAUAUGCGGAGGAACACCGAUGGCGAAGGCAAUCCCCUGGGCCUGUACUGACGCUCAUGCACGAAAGCGUGGGGAGCAAACAGGAUUAGAUACCCCCGUAGUCCCUGUCUCUUAUAC
This 301-nucleotide ribosomal RNA is filed under the name uncultured bacterium. RNAcentral describes it as "partial 16S ribosomal RNA". It matches the Rfam family "Bacterial small subunit ribosomal RNA", at positions 509 to 807 of the family's 1533-position model. The record is from RNAcentral.